Molecule: long non-coding RNA, 1254 nt
Filed under: Homo sapiens (human)
Lineage: Eukaryota; Metazoa; Chordata; Mammalia; Primates; Hominidae
Description: HSALNT0308094
Source: RNAcentral
GUCUGAUUUUUCAGGUAAGAACAUAUGAGAGGCAGGCUGAGACCAAUUUUCUACCAGGCCAGCUAAUUCAUCACAAUGACAAGCUAUGGGUCAUAUGCUUUCAGGAACCAGACACUGGAACAUGUCGUCUGAUGUACAUCACACCAGUAAGUACUUUCUUAUGUUGAUAUUGAGUCAUUCUUUCAGUGAACAUUUUCUGCGUGCCUAUUGUGUGCCAGUCAUGGUACCACACGCUGGGAAUCCAAUGGGGAGUAAGAGAAAGUCCCUUUUCAAGGAGCUUACAGUGCAGUGGAAGAGAGAAAGUUAAAAGGUAAUUCUCAUUUGAUGUGAAAAUAUUUAAAUUCUUCUGUUCACUUAAUUGAAGCGUGGUUAGGCUUUAUACCUUCUCCCGGUCUAAACAGUUCUUUAUAAAGUCCUUUCACGUAGAAACAAAGAAGGCAUUAGUUUACUGCCUGUAAAGAGAGCAGAUCAAGGCUGAGGAACAGACAGAAGUCAGCAGACGUCCUGGAAAUGUCACCAAUCUUUUCUGAGAAAAACAAAGGAACCACUUCUUGGUUACCAGAGAAAUAAAAAAAGAAUUGGAAAGCCAAUGUCCAAUUAUUUACUAAAACAGAAUCCACUGGAGAGAAAUGCAAAGGCAGGUAAAAAGGCAAUCUCUUAACAUGAAAACUCACAACUGUAAAAUGAGAACCUAAACUAUACAGCGACAAACUCAGGAAAAAGUCUCCAGCUACUGCUGUCUCUCAGACUCUCACAGUAUGUGUAACCACUUCCUCCUCUGCACGGAAUCACCCCAGAAGAUCAACUCUACUAGAUCAUUUGAGGACAAUGAACAAAGUCUCAAGACUGAAUUCCCACAGAAAACAUUCUCAUGAAACCACCCAAUAUUCUGGUGAAGUUAAAGAAGGGCAUGUGUUCGGAGACAACCAGAAGCAGCAAUGCUCAAAACCACAAAACUCUGGAUUGCCGACUCUGCACAUCCUGGUUCCUCUAGAUACAGUUCAGUGGCACAUUCACAAAUAAACGUUUUCAAAAACUGCCCUCAGGCAGUUCUAGAGAAAUGCUUUGACUUGCCUAAUGGUAUAAUGUCAAGAAAGGAAGACGAGCACUGAUCAUUCAUACUCAUUAUUACAGUCACAGGGCACUGUCUGACUUGACAGAUACAGCCGAGCAGUUAAAAGGUUAUGGGAAUUUAAGUCCAUUAUGGUCAUACGAUUCUUAUGGACCCAGAGAUAUGAAAUUAAUCAGCCACAU